UACGGAGGGUGCAAGCGUUGUCCGGAUUUAUUGGGUUUAAAGGGUGCGUAGGCGGCCCGUUAAGUCAGUGGUGAAAGCCUCCAGCUCAACUGGAGAACUGCCAUCGAUACUGGCGGGCUUGAGUACAGACGAGGUUGGCGGAAUUGAUUGUGUAGCGGUGAAAUGCAUAGAUACAAUCAAGAACACCGAUUGCGUAGGCAGCUAACUAGGCUGUAACUGACGCUGAGGCACGAAAGCGUGGGGAGCGAACAGG
Molecule: ribosomal RNA, 253 nt
Filed under: uncultured bacterium
Lineage: Bacteria
Description: partial 16S ribosomal RNA
Rfam family: Bacterial small subunit ribosomal RNA
Source: RNAcentral